UACGGAGGGGGCUAGCGUUGUUCGGAAUCACUGGGCGUAAAGCGCACGUAGGCGGAUGUGCCAGUCAGGGGUGAAAUCCCGGAGCUCAACUCCGGAACUGCCUCUGAUACAGCACGUCUUGAGUUCGAGAGAGGUGGGUGGAAUUCCUAGUGUAGAGGUGAAGUUCGUAGAUAUUAGGAAGAACACCGGUGGCGAAGGCGGCCCACUGGCUCGAUACUGACGCUGAGGUGCGAAAGCGUGGGGAGCAAACAGG
Molecule: ribosomal RNA, 253 nt
Filed under: uncultured bacterium
Lineage: Bacteria
Description: partial 16S ribosomal RNA
Rfam family: Bacterial small subunit ribosomal RNA
Source: RNAcentral